UACGUAGGGUGCGAGCGUUAAUCGGAAUUACUGGGCGUAAAGCGUGCGCAGGCGGUUUUGUAAGUCAGAUGUGAAAUCCCCGAGCUCAACUUGGGAACUGCGUUUGAAACUACAAGACUAGAGUAGGUCAGAGGGGGGUAGAAUUCCACGUGUAGCAGUGAAAUGCGUAGAGAUGUGGAGGAAUACCAAUGGCGAAGGCAGCCCCCUGGGAUCAUACUGACGCUCAUGCACGAAAGCGUGGGGAGCAAACAGGAUUAGAUACCCUGGUAGUCCACGCCCUAAACGAUGUCAACUAGUUGUUGGUAGAGUAAAAUCUAUGAGUAACGCAGCUAACGCGUGAAGUUGACCGCCUGGGGAGUACGAUCGCAAGAUUA
RNAcentral lists this ribosomal RNA (374 nucleotides) under uncultured bacterium. Its description in RNAcentral is "bacterial SSU rRNA". It matches the Rfam family "Bacterial small subunit ribosomal RNA", at positions 524 to 896 of the family's 1533-position model. The record is from RNAcentral.